Molecule: transfer RNA, 85 nt
Filed under: Felis catus (domestic cat)
Lineage: Eukaryota; Metazoa; Chordata; Mammalia; Carnivora; Felidae
Rfam family: tRNA
About the family: Transfer RNA (tRNA) molecules are approximately 80 nucleotides in length. Their secondary structure includes four short double-helical elements and three loops (D, anti-codon, and T loops). Further hydrogen bonds mediate the characteristic L-shaped molecular structure. tRNAs have two regions of fundamental functional importance: the anti-codon, which is responsible for specific mRNA codon recognition, and the 3' end, to which the tRNAs corresponding amino acid is attached (by aminoacyl-tRNA synthetases). tRNAs cope with the degeneracy of the genetic code in two manners: having more than one tRNA (with a specific anti-codon) for a particular amino acid; and 'wobble' base-pairing, i.e. permitting non-standard base-pairing at the 3rd anti-codon position.
Source: Rfam by way of RNAcentral
GCCUGGGUGGCUCAGUCAGUUAAGCGUCUGACUUCAGCUCAGGUCACGAUCUCCUAGUUUGUGGGUUCAAGCCCCGCAUCAGGCU